GCAAACGAAGGACUGUUUAGGACAUGACCAAAUUCUACUAUGUGCUGGAUCAUUGUAAAUCUCAAAUCUCAUUGUCGUCCAUGGAAGACAAUUCUGAGAAUGUGAAGCCCAGUGUUUUAAAGGGACUGACAUGGUGCUUGGUUCGUGCCUCGAGAAUGUGUCUCUCCGUCCUUGGUUAAGAGUGGGCAAAGGCUGUGGAGAUGGGGUGGAGAGUGAGGAUGGAACGGUGACAGUUGCAGCGAGCCCACCAGUGCCAGCAGGAGGAAAAUGUUAGCCUGCCAUUUCUGGAUGCUGCGGAGCAUAUGGAAAGCCUGGGAUUGUUGUCGGCAGCCCAGAUCAGGGCUGUGCCAUCCCAGCAGCUUUAUUGUGGUUUUUUAAAGAAAUCAUUUCAGUGAACUCCCUUACCUGUGGUUGUCAGAGGAAAUGCCUCAAAUACUGGUUGUCUAUAGUUUUCCAUGUUCCUGAAUAUAUAUCUGAGUAUCAUUAUUAAAGGCUGC
Molecule: long non-coding RNA, 497 nt
Filed under: Homo sapiens (human)
Lineage: Eukaryota; Metazoa; Chordata; Mammalia; Primates; Hominidae
Description: HSALNT0225555
Source: RNAcentral